AGCUUUGCGCAGUGGCAUUACCGUAGCUGAUGAGGUCCAUCCGAGGCGCGGUUAUUGCUGAUUGAAAACUUUUCCCAAUACCCCGCGAGACGACUUGAAAUAUAGUCGGCUUUGCAAUUUUUGAAGGCCUUUACAAAGG
Non-coding RNA from Nematostella vectensis (starlet sea anemone), 139 nucleotides. The record is from Rfam. Lineage: Eukaryota; Metazoa; Cnidaria; Anthozoa; Actiniaria; Edwardsiidae.